CUACGGUGCUGAAGCAACAAAUGCCCUGCUUCCAGGAAAAGCCUCUAAGCAUCAGGUAACAUCAAAUCGUACCCCAAACCGACACAGGUGGUCAGGUAGAGAAUACCAAGGCGCUUGAGAGAACUCGGGUGAAGGAACUAGGCAAAAUGGUGCCGUAACUUCGGGAGAAGGCACGCUGACACGUAGGUGAAGUGAUUUACUCAUGGAGCUGAAGUCAGUCGAAGAUACCAGCUGGCUGCAACUGUUUAUUAAAAACACAGCACUGUGCAAACACGAAAGUGGACGUAUACGGUGUGACGCCUGCCCGGUGCCGGAAGGUUAAUUGAUGGGGUCAGCGCAAGCGAAGCUCCUGAUCGAAGCCCCGGUAAACGGCGGCCGUAACUAUAACGGUCCUAAGGUAGCGAAAUUCCUUGUCGGGUAAGUUCCGACCUGCACGAAUGGCGUAAUGAUGGCCAGGCUGUCUCCACCCGAGACUCAGUGAAAUUGAACUCGCUGUGAAGAUGCAGUGUACCCGCGGCAAGACGGAAAGACCCCGUGAACCUUUACUAUAGCUUGACACUGAACAUUGAGCCUUGAUGUGUAGGAUAGGUGGGAGGCUUUGAAGUGUGGACGCCAGUCUGCAUGGAGCCGGCCUUGAAAUACCACCCUUUAAUGUUUGAUGUUCUAACGUGGACCCGUGAUCCGGGUUGCGGACAGUGUCUGGUGGGUAGUUUGACUGGGGCGGUCUCCUCCUAAAGAGUAACGGAGGAGCACGAAGGUUGGCUAAUCCUGGUCGGACAUCAGGAGGUUAGUGCAAUGGCAUAAGCCAGCUUGACUGCGAGCGUGACGGCGCGAGCAGGUGCGAAAGCAGGUCAUAGUGAUCCGGUGGUUCUGAAUGGAAGGGCCAUCGCUCAACGGAUAAAAGGUACUCCGGGGAUAACAGGCUGAUACCGCCCAAGAGUUCAUAUCGACGGCGGUGUUUGGCACCUCGAUGUCGGCUCAUCACAUCCUGGGGCUGAAGUAGGUCCCAAGGGUAUGGCUGUUCGCCAUUUAAAGUGGUACGCGAGCUGGGUUUAGAACGUCGUGAGACAGUUCGGUCCCUAUCUGCCGUGGGCGCUGGAGAACUGAGGGGGGCUGCUCCUAGUACGAGAGGACCGGAGUGGACGCAUCACUGGUGUUCGGGUUGUCAUGCCAAUGGCACUGCCCGGUAGCUAAAUGCGGAAGAGAUAAGUGCUGAAAGCAUCUAAGCACGAAACUUGCCCCGAGAUGAGUUCUCCCUGAGACUUUAGGUCUCCUGAAGGAACGUUGAAGACGACGACGUUGAUAGGCCGGGUGUGUAAGCGCAGCGAUGCGUUGAGCUAACCGGUACUAAUGAACCGUGAGGCUUAACCUU
Molecule: ribosomal RNA, 1372 nt
Filed under: Salmonella enterica
Lineage: Bacteria; Pseudomonadati; Pseudomonadota; Gammaproteobacteria; Enterobacterales; Enterobacteriaceae
Description: partial 23S ribosomal RNA
Rfam family: Bacterial large subunit ribosomal RNA
Source: RNAcentral